This 67-nucleotide transfer RNA is filed under the name Trigonopterus singkawangensis. Its description in RNAcentral is "tRNA-Gln". Lineage: Eukaryota; Metazoa; Arthropoda; Insecta; Coleoptera; Curculionidae. The record is from RNAcentral.
UAUGCUCUAGUAUAUAGGUACGAAAGUUUUUGAUAUUUUAGGAGAUAAUUAAUUUUAUCGGGUGUAA